AUUGAACGCUGGCGGCAGGCCUAACACAUGCAAGUCGAACGGUAACAGGAAGAAGCUUGCUUCUUUGCUGACGAGUGGCGGACGGGUGAGUAAUGUCUGGGAAACUGCCUGAUGGAGGGGGAUAACUACUGGAAACGGUAGCUAAUACCGCAUAACGUCGCAAGACCAAAGAGGGGGACCUUCGGGCCUCUUGCCAUCGGAUGUGCCCAGAUGGGAUUAGCUUGUUGGUGGGGUAACGGCUCACCAAGGCGACGAUCCCUAGCUGAUCUGAGAGGAUGACCAGCCACACUGGAACUGAGACACGGUCCAGACUCCUACGGGAGGCAGCAGUGGGGAAUAUUGCACAAUGGGCGCAAGCCUGAUGCAGCCAUGCCGCGUGUAUGAAGAAGGCCUUCGGGUUGUAAAGUACUUUCAGCGGGGAGGAAGGGAGUAAAGUUAAUACCUUUGCUCAUUGACGUUACCCGCAGAAGAAGCACCGGCUAACUCCGUG
Molecule: ribosomal RNA, 490 nt
Filed under: uncultured bacterium
Lineage: Bacteria
Description: partial 16S ribosomal RNA
Rfam family: Bacterial small subunit ribosomal RNA
Source: RNAcentral